Long non-coding RNA from Myiozetetes cayanensis, 221 nucleotides. RefSeq lists it as uncharacterized. The record is from RefSeq and is a predicted model, not a curated record. Lineage: Eukaryota; Metazoa; Chordata; Aves; Passeriformes; Tyrannidae. The transcript is spliced from 3 exons.
CCUUGGGGACACCUCUGGUGGCCCUGGGGACAUCUGGGUGGCCUUGGGGGCAACGCUGGUGACCCAGGUGACAUCCCUGGUGGCCCAGGUGACGUCACUCGUGUCCUUGGGGGCACCUCUGGUGGCCCAGGUGUCACCUCUGGUGGCCCAGGUGACAUCCCUGGUGGCCCAGGUGACAUCAGUUGAGUCCUUGGGGCCAUCCCUGGUGGCCCAGGUGACAU